GACUAUAUAGUUCCUUAUAAUGGGUGACUAGAGGCAUCAUGAUGACCUUGGUCAAAUCAUUAAUAAUGUUAGGAAUGGGAGAUUUGGAGUCUAAGCUUAUAAGUUGGCUUAAUGAUGUGGGAGCAUUAAAUGCAUCCACUGACUUAAAACUUUGUGAUUGAGGGACCUUCAUUUUAGUAAGAGGUAUUUUAGUUUGAACACCAAAGUGACAAUUGAUUUAUUUGUGAAGUUCUGGAGGCUUCUUUAUGUUUGCUUCAUGAACUUUUAUCACGUUAAAUUUACACAAAUCAGGAGGCUUUUGCAAAUAUGUUAUAAGUUCUUUUUAGAGUUGAUCUCUUACUUUUAAACAUAAUUUAAGAGGAAGAUU
RNAcentral lists this long non-coding RNA (367 nucleotides) under Carica papaya (papaya). Its description in RNAcentral is "long non-coding RNA (CPAP_LNC003152)". Lineage: Eukaryota; Viridiplantae; Streptophyta; Magnoliopsida; Brassicales; Caricaceae. The record is from RNAcentral.